This 521-nucleotide ribosomal RNA is filed under the name uncultured Acidobacteriota bacterium. RNAcentral's name for it is "bacterial SSU rRNA". It matches the Rfam family "Bacterial small subunit ribosomal RNA", at positions 355 to 866 of the family's 1533-position model. The record is from RNAcentral. Lineage: Bacteria; Pseudomonadati; Acidobacteriota.
UGGGGAAUUUUGCGCAAUGGGCGAAAGCCUGACGCAGCAACGCCGCGUGGAGGAUGAAGGUGCUCUGCAUCGUAAACUCCUGUCGGCCGGGAAGAAGGGACGUCGCAGUCACUGGCGGCGUUCUUGACUGUACCGGCAAAGGAAGCCCCGGCCAACUCCGUGCCAGCAGCCGCGGUAAUACGGAGGGGGCAAGCGUUACUCGGAAUUAUUGGGCGUAAAGGGCGCGUAGGCGGUCCCGCGCGUCGGAGGUGAAAUUCCCGGGCUUAACCCGGGACGUGCCUCCGAUACGGCGGGACUUGAGUCCGGGAUAGGGGAGCAGAAUUCCCAGUGUAGCGGUGAAAUGCGUAGAUAUUGGGAGGAAUACCAGUGGCGAAGGCGGCUCCCUGGACCGGUACUGACGCUGAGGCGCGAAAGCGUGGGUAGCAAACAGGAUUAGAUACCCUGGUAGUCCACGCCGUAAACGAUGGGUGCUUGGUGUCGGGGGUAUCGACCCUCCGGUGCCGGAGCUAACGCAUUAAGCA